Molecule: ribosomal RNA, 501 nt
Filed under: uncultured bacterium
Lineage: Bacteria
Description: bacterial SSU rRNA
Rfam family: Bacterial small subunit ribosomal RNA
Source: RNAcentral
AAUCAACGCUGGCGGCGUGCCUCAGACAUGCAAGUCGAACGCGAAAGUUUCCUUCGGGAGACAAGUAGAGUGGCGCACGGGUGAGUAACACGUAGGUAAUCUACCUUCGGGUGGGGAAUAACCCAGGGAAACUUGGGCUAACACCGCAUAAUGCAGCGGCACCACAUGGUGACAGUUGUUAAAGCGGGGGAUUUUCGGACCUCGCGCCUGGAGAGGAGCCUGCGGCGGAUUAGCUAGUUGGUAGGGUAACGGCUUACCAAGGCGACGAUCCGUAACCGGCCUGAGAGGGCGGUCGGUCACACUGACACUGACAUACGGGUCAGACUCCUACGGGAGGCAGCAGUCGGGAAUUUUGGGCAAUGGGCGAAAGCCUGACCCAGCAACGCCGCGUGAAGGAUGAAAUCCCUCGGGAUGUAAACUUCGCAAGAAUGGGAAGAAUGAGCGAGCGCUAAUACCGUUCGUGAUGACGGUACCAUUUGUAAGCUCCGGCUAACUCCGUGC